AGGGGCAGCACAAGGAGCAAUCUGAGGUGGCGACCGGCGCACGGGUGAGUAACACGUAUGCAACCUGGCCUGUAAGACGGGGAAUAACCCGUUGAAAGACGGACUAAUACCGCAGUAAUACUAAAUUACUGCAAUGGUAAUUUAUUUAAACAUUUAUGGCUUACAGAUGGGCAUGCGCAUGAUUAGCUAGUUCGGAGAGGUAACGGCUCCCCAAGGCAACGAUCAUUAGGGGUUCUGAGAGGAAGGUCCCCCACACUGGUACUGAGACACGGACCAGACUCCUACGGGAGGCAGCAGUGAGGAAUAUUGGUCAAUGGACGAGAGUCUGAACCAGCCAAGUCGCGUGGCAGGAAGAAUGUCCCUAUGGAUUGUAAACUGCUUUUGCAGGGGAAUAAAGUGCAUCACGUGUGAUGUUUUGUAUGUACUCUGCGAAUAAGGAUCGGCUAACUCCGUGCCAGCCGCCGC
This 465-nucleotide ribosomal RNA is filed under the name uncultured bacterium. Its description in RNAcentral is "bacterial SSU rRNA". It matches the Rfam family "Bacterial small subunit ribosomal RNA", at positions 65 to 518 of the family's 1533-position model. The record is from RNAcentral.